RNAcentral lists this ribosomal RNA (558 nucleotides) under uncultured soil bacterium. Its description in RNAcentral is "bacterial SSU rRNA". It matches the Rfam family "Bacterial small subunit ribosomal RNA", at positions 17 to 555 of the family's 1533-position model. The record is from RNAcentral.
UCAUGGCUCAGGAUGAACGCUGGCGGCGUGCCUAAUACAUGCAAGUCGAGCGAACUGAUUAGAAGCUUGCUUCUAUGACGUUAGCGGCGGACGGGUGAGUAACACGUGGGCAACCUGCCUGUAAGACUGGGAUAACUUCGGGAAACCGAAGCUAAUACCGGAUAGGAUCUUCUCCUUCAUGGGAGAUGAUUGAAAGAUGGUUUCGGCUAUCACUUACAGAUGGGCCCGCGGUGCAUUAGCUAGUUGGUGAGGUAACGGCUCACCAAGGCAACGAUGCAUAGCCGACCUGAGAGGGUGAUCGGCCACACUGGGACUGAGACACGGCCCAGACUCCUACGGGAGGCAGCAGUAGGGAAUCUUCCGCAAUGGACGAAAGUCUGACGGAGCAACGCCGCGUGAGUGAUGAAGGUUUUCGGAUCGUAAAACUCUGUUGUUAGGGAAGAACAAGUACCGUUCGAAUAGGGCAGUACCUUGACGGUACCUAACCAGAAAGCCACGGCUAACUACGUGCCAGCAGCCGCGGUAAUACGUAGGUGGCAAGCGUUGUCCGGAAUUAUU